GUGCCGCUCCGCCGCUCGCUCCAGCGCAGGAAAUGCGCAAAAGACGUCAGUGUGUGUGUGUGCGUGCGUGUGCGAGUGUGUGCGCUGCGAGGGUGCGGAGGCAGCCCCUUCUGUGCGUGCGUGUGUGAGUGUGAGUCUGUGAGUAGAAAGUUUUGCCUGUUGGGGGAGCAGUGCGGCCGCAGCCAGCCGGGAAACCGCGUCUCGGGUCGCGACUCCCGCGGGCCGCUCUCACCACUCCUACACACCCGCCGCCGGGCGGCUUUCCGCGGGAGCCUCUGCCUUCCCCCUCCUCGACCUCCUCCUGCCUCUUCCUCACAGGAUAGUGGGUUUCCUGUCCCUUACUCUCUGUGACGGCACGGACCCCAGGAUCUUUCUGCGCACCCCGGUCCGCACUGGCAAGCAACGAGUCCGCAGCUGUCCCCGCCGUCUCGGGACCACUGCCUGACGGCGCCGCCGUCCGCCACCCAUCCACCACCCCCCCUAGCUGCCCCCGCCCUGCCGCCGCCGCGGCUGCAGAGACAACGCUACGUCAGCUGGGGCCGGGUCGGAGGAAGAGUUUCCCCGCUGUGUGCGAGCCCCGGGAAGUGCAGUCCGCCGACACGGGAAGCGGCCUCCCGGGGCCCGCCCCGCCCGUGUCUGCCCUAUCCCCGGCCGGCGGACGCUGCCCAGGGUGACAGUCCGGCCGGGCCCGAUGGUGCCGGGGCAAAAAAUGGCUCUUGAACGCCAAUCUCUCCGUGGCGGUGUGUCUCUGCCAGUCCCUUUGUUUGCGGGGUGUCAUCUGGCCCUGCACAGCCGGCCUGUGUGUGCCCCACUGCAGCCCCUCGCAGCUCAGUAUCGCUUCACUGUCUCUGGCUUUGAGCUGGCAUCGACUGGGAGACACCAUGGGGAGUCGGCACAGCCCUAUGUGGGUACUGAAAUGGGGGGAAAAAAUCUGCUGAAAGGCUGAAAGAGUGUACUGACUAUGUUAGUGAACAUUAUUGACACGUCAAGUAAUAGUUGAAUUUCACCACCGUGGUACCAAAUACUGUACUGAAUAACUGGGGAAGUAUGUGCAGCCCGGAUUCUCCACAGAACGAAUGUACUCAAGAUCUAAAUGGUUUCCUUUGGUGAAAAUUAUUGCUGCCUUAUUUAUUUUUAGCUACUGUUUUUGCCAAUCUUUUGUGAGAAAGACCCUAGAAAAGGGAUGGAAUUUGCCCUUUAGUGGGAUCGGAACUCACUGUGAUUUCACUAGAGAAACCAAGAGGCAGCACUGGCACCCAGGAGGGUGGCUGAGGUGCUUCAAAAACACAGUCAGCAUAAAAGGAAGAAACUCAAUUGCUUGGGCCCAUUGAGUAGGACAUAAAAGAUCACAUCCAGUCUUUAAUCUGGACCUGAUACUCCUGACUGGAAAGCAAAGAACAGAUAAUUAUGGGUUUCUACAUGUAAUGGCUCGGGAGGCAGGUGUUAUAUUUGAAGAUGAUGAAAUAGCUCCAGUAUCUUUGCUUCCAGAUAGAAGAUACAGUACUAAUGAAGCCUAAGUCUGAUGAGAGCAUUCACAUUAACGAAAGAAAGAUUUUUUGGCAUCUGUUGCCACUUAAUCUACUAGUCAAAGUAGAAGUACGGUAAAAUCUCCAUGUUCUUCGUCAUCUUGACAAUCUCCAUGCAGAAUUGGUUGAUACAAAGCUGUGGUAUAUAGCAAAUUAUAAGAAAUGUCUUCCUUUGCAAUUGUGGGUUGGGAACUUCCUCUCCGCCAAUUAAAAUUCACCAGAGCAGCUCAGAUGGCUUGGAAGUAAGAUAAAGCUAUAUUUACAGCAAAGCUAAAUUUGCAAGCAUAUACACAAAACAUGUUUGCAUGUAUUUACAAUUAUGUACAAUUUAGAAAUAAUACAGAAAUCCAAACUUCCCCUUCCCCAGGACAAAGAAAAAGUCCAGAAGGGGCCAACACCUCUCUCUCUCUUCCAGAUAGAAACCAACCAGCAAAGCUCAUGUGUUAUCUGGUCAGUCAAGGUUAGUGGAAGAGAUUAGAGUGGAGCAAAGUGAACAGAUCCAGUACCCCAAAGCAAAGAAGAAAGAAUUGUUUAUAAUUUGGCUUUCUAUACCCUUUAGCAAACCAAUGAGUGAUAUAGACUUUGUCACUAUUAUUCUUGCACAACCAAUGAUCUAAUUUCUCUUAUUAGAAUAUUCCAAUAAGCCUUAAACCACUACAGCAAUUCAGCAUUUCCUGGGCUCACAGCAGCUGUGACACAUCUUUUGCCGUAUUUCUCUGAAGAACCCUACUCAAAGGCUCCACCAUGAAUUGAUGAACCACCUUUUCCUUUCCUCCCACCCCCAUUCACAACCUACCAUCUGUAGUAUUAUACGUUAAGCUACAAGGUCUUACAUUUACUGUGUCAGAAAUAACACUGUAAUUAAAUCUUUCCUCUGGAUGUUUGCUGUUUCUCAGUAAAGGCAACAUAAAUAGUAUGCUACAUUUCCUUAGCUAUAGGGAAACAUAAAAGGCAAUCUGAUAAACACUGUUUAAUUUUUCUGUUUAAGAGACCUGCAACUAUGUGUGUUUCAAAUGCUCAAGGUAAGAUUUAAGUAAACAGUCUCCAUGGUGAGUUUGAUGACCUAGCAUCUCUGUGAGAUCACACAUGCAUAUUACAGAAUUCUGAAUAAAUACAAUAGUAACACAACAUACAAAAAA
Molecule: long non-coding RNA, 2665 nt
Organism: Pogoniulus pusillus (Red-fronted tinkerbird)
Lineage: Eukaryota; Metazoa; Chordata; Aves; Piciformes; Lybiidae
Exons: 2
Source: RefSeq, a predicted model, not a curated record